GUCUUUUUAUUUGAGAUGUUUAGUCUAUGACCUUGAAAUUGAGGUCAAGGUCAUAGGUUAAUUGGACGUUCUAGAUUUUGACCUUUGCUUAAAAUUCAUAUUUAUACAUCAUUAAGCCAUAGGAACUGACAUUUUCAACUGAAUUUUAAUAUUUUCAUAUCAAAAUAGAUCCUUAUUGGUUGAAAGACCUUCAAUUGUUCUUUGAACAAUUGGUUUUUAAUUUUUUUUUUUUUUCUUCCGCCAACUUUUUUUCCUUCGCUGUUUUUUUGUUUUCACAAGAUAUCGCUUAGAUAUAAGGUAAAUGAUAUCAACAGUUAAUAGGCUUCUGAAACUGACACCGCGUAACAAAAAACUUUACCUUGUAAGAGUUAUCUCCCCGAACACUGUUUUUCUUGUGGCCACUACUCCUUCGCGACCGUAUAAGAAACCGACAAAUUUAUUUAUCCAAAUUGCUCGUUAUAUCCUUAGGAUGUUCUGUUUCAUUUCAACCGAAGCUAUCCGGAGACUCCAUAUGAGAGUUAUCCCCCCUUUUAUAUAUGAUAUCAGUGAUAUGCAUUUCUAACUGGUAAACUAUAAGUGAUAGAGACCUAGGGUCUUUUGAUUUAAGAUCCUUGGUCCAAAAAAAUGAAAAUUAGGUCAAGGUCAAAAGGUCAAGGUCAAAUUCUAAAUUUUGAUUUUGGCUUAUUUUCACUUAUUCUCAUUAACUUUAUAAGAUUUCGACAAAUUCUUUUUACUAAAUUGUUAGUUGCGACAUGUCGUAACUUAAAAUUUUUGAUUGGAAGGGUGCGUAGACAAUAAACGGGAGUUUUUUGCCCUCUUAUAUUUAGAAUUAUGCGUAAAGUGAUAUUACUCAUGAACCAUACAUACUACUGACCUAGGGUCUUUUGAUUUGGGAUCCUUGGUUUAUGACCUUGAAAUUGGGGUCAAGGUCAUAGGUUAAUUGGACGUUCUAGAUUUUGACCUUUGCUCCAAAUUCAUAUUUUCAUAUCAUAAAGCCAAAGCAACUGACAUUUUCAACUGAAUCUUAAUAUUUUCACAUCAAAAUAGAUCCUUAUUGGUUGAAAGACCUUCAAUUGUUCUUUGAACAAUUGGUUUUUAAUUAUUAUUUUUUUUUUUUUUUUUUUUCUUCCACCAACUUUUUUUUCCUUCGCUGUUUUUUUGUUUCACAAGAUGUCGCUUACAUAUUUGGUAUAUGAUAUCGAACAGUUAAUGCGCUUCUGAAACUGACACCGCGUAACAAAAACCUUUACCUUGUAAGAGUUAUCUCCCCAACACUGUUUUUCUUGUGGCCACUACUACUUCGCAACCGUAUAAGAAACCGACAAAUUUAUUUUUCCAAAUUGCUCGUUAUAUCCUUAGGAUGUUCUGUUUCAUUUCAACGGAAGCUAUCCGGAGACUCCAUAUGAGAGUUAUCCCCCCUUUUAUAUAUGAUAUCAGUGAUAUGCAUUUCUAACUGGUAAACUAUAAGUGAUAGAGACCUAGGGUCUUUUGAUUGAAGAUCCUUGGUCCAAAAAAAUGAAAAUUAGGUCAAGGUCAAAGGUCAAGGUCAAAUUCUUAAUUUUGAUUUUGGCUUAUUUUCACCUUUUUUCAUUAACCUUAUAAGAUAUCGACAAUUUUUUUUUACUAAAUUGUUAGUUGCGACAUGUCGUAACUUAUAAAUUUUGGUUGCGAGGGUGCGUAAACAAUAAAAGGGAGUUUUCGCCCCUCUUAUAUUAAGAAUUAUGCGUAAAGUGAUUUUACUCAUGAACCAUACAUAUUAAGGAACUAGUGUCUUUUUAUUUGAGAUGUUUAGUCUAUGACCUUGAAAUUGAGGUCAAGGUCAUAGGUUAAUUGGACGUUCUAGAUUUUGACCUUUGCUUAAAAUUCAUAUUUAU
Molecule: long non-coding RNA, 1874 nt
Filed under: Mytilus galloprovincialis (Mediterranean mussel)
Lineage: Eukaryota; Metazoa; Mollusca; Bivalvia; Mytilida; Mytilidae
Source: RNAcentral